AUACUUACCUGGCAGGGGAGAUACCAUGAUCACAAAGGUGGCUUCCCCAGGGCAAAGCUUAUCACACUGCACUCCGGAUGUGCUGACCCCUGCGGUUUCCCUAGAUGUGGGAAACUCGACUGCAUAAUUUGUGGUAGUGGGGAACUCCGUUUGCACUCUCCCCUA
Small nuclear RNA from Suncus etruscus (white-toothed pygmy shrew), 165 nucleotides. RefSeq annotates it as U1 spliceosomal RNA. NCBI's taxonomy places the organism in Eukaryota, Metazoa, Chordata, Mammalia, Eulipotyphla, Soricidae. The transcript has a single exon. The record is from RefSeq and is a predicted model, not a curated record.